CCUACGGGUGGCAGCAGUGAGGAAUAUUGGUCAAUGGGCGCGAGCCUGCACCAGCCAAGUAGCGUGAAGGAUGACUGCCCUACGGGUUGUAAACUUCUUUUAUAAAGGAAUAAAGUGAGGCACGUGUGCCUUUUGUAUGUACUUUAUGAAUAAUGAUCGGCUAACUCCGUGCCAGCAGCCGCGGUAAUACGGAGGAUCCGAGCGUUAUCCGGAUUUAUUGGGUUUAAAGGGAGCGUAGAUGGGUUGUUAAGUCAGUUGUGAAAGUUUGCGGCUCAAACGUAAAAUUGCAAUUGAUACUGGCAGUCUUGAGUACAGUUGAGGUAGGCGGAAUUCGUGGUGUAGCGGUGAAAUGCUUAGAUAUCACGAAGAACUCCGAUUGCGAAGGCAGCUUACUAAACUGCCACUGACAUUGAUGCUCGAAAGUGUGGGUAUCAAACAGGAGUAGAUACCCGAGUAGUC
RNAcentral lists this ribosomal RNA (459 nucleotides) under uncultured bacterium. RNAcentral describes it as "partial 16S ribosomal RNA". It matches the Rfam family "Bacterial small subunit ribosomal RNA", at positions 338 to 795 of the family's 1533-position model. The record is from RNAcentral.